Dermacentor silvarum is the source of this 8848-nucleotide long non-coding RNA. RefSeq lists it as uncharacterized. The transcript is spliced from 3 exons. The record is from RefSeq and is a predicted model, not a curated record. NCBI's taxonomy places the organism in Eukaryota, Metazoa, Arthropoda, Arachnida, Ixodida, Ixodidae.
CACGGGCUUGCCACUGCACUAAUGGCGGUGCAGGCAGCGCUGUGUAAACAAAACGUAGCUAUUGCCAUGCUUGAUAGAAGGUGCACCUUACGCCGAGUGACAACUUUAACAGUUGUGAGCAAGUGAAAGGGUGGUCACCAAAACGUGACAAGCAAGUGCAGAAUGGCCUUGAAGCCGGCUCCUUUGUGGAUUGGCAAGCCCUUGGUGUGGUGUGGUCCAGACAUUGGCUGCUUCCAUCAUACCUGGUCUUUUUUCUUGUGACCAGAUCAUCGCUGCAGCAGCUCAUUACAAAUCAGUGGGAGCAUGCAGUUCAUUCAUUCAUACUGGUGUCCGCUGUGGUAACUCUGGCUACAGUGUUGUUGCGCUGCUGUGCACGAGUGUGCGGGUUCAAUCUCAGCCGUGGCAUCUGCAUUCUGAUGGGGCAGAAUGUGAAAGUGCUUGGGUACCAUGCAUUGGGUGCCUGUUAAAGAAACCCAGGUGGUCAAAAUUGAACGGGUCCUGGUACUAAUGCAUGCCUCAUAACUUAUCGUGCAGUUUCAGAAUCUAAAAGGAGACUUAAGCGAAGCACUUACAGUCGACGUCCGAUUUCCCGGACCCUCAAGGGACCGCGAAAACGUCCGGAAAAUCGGGCAGUCCGGAAAAACGAAUGCACGUGAAAACGCACCUUUUUGGUAGGUAUUUUUCGCUGACGGAGAGGGUCACGGCCGGAGUACAAGAUUCUCAUUGCUAUUCAGCCAAUGCAUCGUUUAGGUGGCUCUGAAAAGAGCCGUUUAUAAAAAAAAAAAAAAAAAUACGACGUGGCCGGCGCUACCUCAUAGGUCAGCACUUGGGCGCAAAGAAGUCGCUUAUUUUCUUUUGCACGGUCCGCUUGCCCGCGAUCAUGUCUGCCUCAAUUGCAGUCAACGUCAUGUUGCCGCUGUACACCGAUGACAGUGUCAUCAGUGCUCGCGUCAACUCCGAGCUCGUUGGCUGUGUAGGAGCUGGCUCUUCGUUCUCGGUGUCUCCGUAACUUGACGAAUGAUUUCGUCAUCGGUCAACUCCGCACAUAGCUCGAGGUCUUUGUCAGCGUCGGCGAAGCCCUCAAAGGUUAUCCCGGCUGGAAUCGACACGCCGGCAGCGCGCAGAUCGUCGAAGGCAACGUCCGCGGAUGGCAGUUCGUCACUUCGUCAGUUCGUCCACGGAGGGCAGUUCGCGGAUGGCAGUUCGUUCAAAGGCGCGGACGAAGACGAAGGAGCAGUCAGUGCCAUCGCUGUAAACGGCGAAUCCGCUCGACGAAAAGCGCAGCACGAAACAGCUAGGAACUCGGUGGAUGCUGAAGGUCGGGAAACAUGAUCACUGAAGAUAGCGCGCAGCAGCAAACGAUCAACCGCAGACACGACCGCAGAGCUGGCAGAGCUGACAAAACAACACGUGAACGAACACAGUGAGGUUUGGCUUGGCUAAGCUACGGCUGGCAACGGAUUGACACGUGCGGUUUCGAGGUUACGGCAGCCGCGGCGCGGUGCUGCUGGCCACACCUGCGAUGCGAGUAUGGUGGGCUCGAGGAUAUGAAAACAACCAAAAUGGCGGCGGCGGUGGUGACUUUGGGUCGGCGGUUAACAGUAAAAAGUCCGGGAAAUCGGAUGGCGAAGGCUAUAAGCGUCCGGAAUUUCGGACUUUUUAAUACAUUGACUCUAUGAGGAACUUGACGGUGCCACAGAUGAGUCCGGGAAAUCAGGCAUGUCCGGAAUUUCGGGCGUCCGGGAAAUCGGACGUCGACUGUAAUUAACUUAGACUGAUAAAGUGUGUCUUGAAACUCUAUUCUCGUUAAUUGCAUGAUAAUAAGUUGAAAGUUGAAGAGAACAUAAGAUCAGAGUACCAUUUUCUGAAUUUUACGCCGAAGCCCCAACGGCAGUAAGGCAAUGUGAUGUCACGAAUUUGAAAACAUUUUGUUCGUAUUUGGAUGCUGUUGGCUCGGUAAAAGUUCCCAAAGCUUGCCAUGUUCAAUCUUCCUUUGUUCAAAACACAAUGUAGCCCAUUUUUAUCGAUAAGCAAUUAAAUAGGUCCUAGUAGGUGCCGUCAAAAUAUUUGGUGCCGAAAUUUCAAGGCGGCAUCACCACCUAUGUUUCCUGUUUCAUCCUUUUUUGGUUUACCAAGCAUAUUCUCACGGUAACAUAAUGUUAGCAUGAAAUUACGAGAGGACACCAAAGCAUAACCAGCUUUUCACAUUUAGCAGUGAUAGCCAAUUCCCUAUCUGGCUUUUGAAAUGGCUUGUCAGUGUAACUUGUCCCAAUGAUUACUUUAUUGCUAUGGUAAUCUUAUCCACAGCUUGCAGGCAGAUGGGGGCAAAACAUCCACUUUUGCUGUUGGCAUAAAGAUUGGGCUUCAGGGACCCUUAAAAAAAGUUGUGCGAAACUGGUUUUAAACAAAAUAUACCGUAUUUACUUGAGGAAUUUGUGCACCCUUAGGGGGACAGGGUAAGCGAAGAUUCUGACAAAAAUGUAUUUUUGUUCUUUUCUAAAUAUGAAAGUGAAUUGUUUUCUAAAUCCUUUCCAGUUUCACACUUCAUCCUAAAAUGGGUCAAAGAAUGUCUAAAAAAGUGUUGGCAGAGUGAAAAAUGUGUGAUUGAUGUUAUUGUUUACAUUGAACUCAGUUCUUUCAAAACAAGAUUUUACGUUAUGUCGGUACCAUUAUUUUCAGUAUGACAAAAGGUAGCACAACAAUUUUUUCUGCGCAAACUGAAUGGUUGUAUGUCAUUAUACUGUGCCAAAAUUAAAGCUGUAGAAUAAAUAGUUCUUGUUUGAUAAGAAAAUGUACAAAAAUUUGUUUAAAAUUAGGUAUGGGCAAAAAAAAAAUGUUAAUAAUUUGCUUUUUUGGAUAAUAAAAUACUUUUGGUACAGUAGAUAGAAGACAAAGUACAAACGCCUAGCCGAUAUCUCUAUUCCACUAUGUGCCCAAAAAUACAUGUGAAGUGUUAAAUUAACACCCUGGUUUUUGAAAAAAAUCUGACAGAAUCCAUUCACGAUGAAUGUUGACGUGUCUGCGAUUAGUGUUGAAGCAAUGUAUUAAUGCACCAUAUUGCAACUGCUGAAACACAUUGUGUAUGAGGCGUGUAUAUAGCCGGGAGGCUCUCUCACUCCUCAGAACACGCUGCAUCAUUUAGCGCCACCGCAGCAAAGUCCCAGUGCGGCAUGUGUGCAGACAAAAUUUAUUAUUUAUGACACAAGUUUGACUCCACCCACCACCAUUGAAAUUUAAAUAUCUUUUUCCAUGAAGACCCGCACAUACAUAGUGGCACAAGUUGGCGUCAAAAGGGCUCAUUGAAGGGCGGCAUGUCCCCAGCUACAUAUAGCCAGCACAAGUAAGCGUAAAAGACAUAUUGAAAAGUAGCACUUGUGUUGGGACAAUACCCAGUGACCCAAUUUCACAAAGAGGUUCAUUGAACUGUGGCACACAUCUAGUUUCACAUGUGCAGGGAUCCAAGUUAGGAUGAACGGAGUUCAUGGAAGAGCUGUAGUUAAGCAUUGACACAUACCCAGUACCACACGUUCGCAUGAAGCAGAUUAACUGAUAAGCGGCACGUACACAGUGUCACAUACCCGUGACCCAAGUUGGCCCAACGAUUAGCUUCAAACCUGGUUCCCUUAUCACAGCAGCCCAGUGCUCUAACCAUUAGACCAUGGACUACGAGGGACCCAAGUUGGUGGUAAGACGGUUAGAGACACUGACAGAGAGGCAUAAAGCCCCUGAAAAGUGCAUGACAUUCCCUAGGAAUGCUUAUCAUAUUAAAAGCUUUUCAUUGCAUAAUUUGCGCACCCUGUCCUGCCCGCAGCAGGCCGUCGAUGCGUGUGCACAAGGCAGGGUUGGGGAGAUCGGCACCGCUUCAAUGUUGCCCGCAAUCGCUAUGCCAGUGCUGCAGUUGCUGUAGGUGAAGGCAUCUAGCGGGGAAGGGUCGCUUGUCAAAGUGAAGUCACGCAGAAAAAACAAGCUGUGCGCAUUCUUUUUUAGUUAGCACUGUUUUCUGUACUGGAGGGCGGGAGAGCACAGAACUUCUCUGUGCAGACAAAUCAUCAGUAGCGGCGGUGGAGCAGCCUGUGCAACCAUUUUUGAUUACCGUGUGGUGUGUGCUCUAGGAUCAGUCGUGCUUUAAUCGACCCAACUUCAACGACUGCUCUUUUGAUGGGGUACAAUACCUCCACAGCCAAGUUUUAACUUUGUGUAAUGCAGUUCACCGAGGAAAAUGGGAACCGUGCUGCUGCCAAGGAGUUCAGAAUCAGUGAGAGCUGUAUGUGCUACUCGUGAGAACAGAAGGCUCAGCUCACUGAUGCAAUACUGGAAAGAAAAGCAUUUUAAGAACAAAAGCAAGGACCUCGUAAAAUAUUUUCGAAAAAAUAGAUCCUCUGGUUCCGCUGUGUCAUGCCAGUUUCUGCAAUUUCAGGCAAUUGUGCACAAAAAAGGCAUCCCUGCUGCAACGUUCAAAGCAAGCAGAGGGUUGGUGACAUGCUUCAUGAGAAGUGAUCGCCUGUUUUUGAAACGAAGGACUGCCCUCCGUCACUUACUUGAUUGGACUGCACCAGGUCAACAACUUCGUAAUGUCACAGGUCGGGAAAGUCGAUGAAAUACCACUGACAUUUGACAUGCCACCUAGCACCACAGUGUGAAAUGCGCUUUUUCUGUCUCCGUAAAAACAGUAGGCUGUAAAAAACAGCAUUGCACUGUAAUGGUUGGGGCGACCGCUGAUGGAGUGCAAACUCCCGCCCUUUGGCAUUUGCAAGAAAGAGAUGUUGACAAAGAUAAAUAUUCAAGGGUACAUUCACGUCCAUGUUCACGAAAAUGGACGGAUGAAUGAAGCAAUAAUGCACGACUGGAUUGACAUUCUCUGGGAAAGACGACCAGGCGCCAUGCUGUGACUGCCAUCGCUGUUGCUGCUUUUCAGCUUCAAGGGCCAUUUUGUCAACAGUGUGAAAGAAAAGCUGCUAGACAUAAAGCCAAGCUUGGCUGUUAUUCUGGAUGGCCUAACAUGAGUCCGGCAGUGCAUGGACAUUUCGUCGAGCAAGCCUCGUAAGGACUAUGUGCGUAAACUGUAUGUGGAAUUGAUGGCCAGCAGAGAACAUGGCCUUAUUCUCACAGAGAGGGUAAAGAGAGCUCCUCUGGAAACAGUCUGUGACUGGAUACUACCAUUGUGGGCAUGGUAUUGCCCAAAAUUGUAAUCCACGGCUUCAAGGUUGAAUGCGCUUGACGGAACGGAGGACAACACCAUUUGGUAUGACUGGCAAGAGCGGCAGCGACAAUGACGGCUCAGAGUUGGGAUUUCUUCGGCAUACUAGACAGACAGAGGCUCUGUGAAAUAAAGACUAAUUUGGGGUGUGAUACCUACUAGACACUUUUAAGUACGUCCCACACUUACCUACCACUGUAUUACUACGACCAGAAUACGGCUAAAAUUUUUAAGCUCGGUUUAUUGGUGCUUAUCUUCAAUCGCUGCUUUCAAACCACCUGAGGACAGCUGCCUAAGCAGAAAACGUAAAGUUUUGCCUUACCAAAUUAGCAGUUUCUUUUUGCACUAGGUCUAUGGGAAACCAACCAAAUGUUCAAAAUUGUACCUAAUAUUAGAAAAUUUGGGUUAAGCAAGCUUGUCCUAAAGGGAGUGUACUGCGAUGUUGGUUAUACAUGCUGUUCCUGGUUUGAGAGAAAAGAGUACUGGCAGAAAAUCGGUACGAAACAGCACAAAACUGACACGAAACUUACGUCAUUUUCAUAAUUUGUUGCAAGUGGAUACGUCUUGCAAUUCACUGAAUACAAUUUGUAAAUUCCAAUAUGUGCUGUUAAGUAAUUAGUUAAAUACCUAAUGGGUGAAACUUUCUUAUUUAUUCAAUUAUGCAUUCCGAUUACUCAUGCAAGUAAUGCCUGCCUCUUUCAGUAAUCCAUCUCCAGGAUGAAUUCUCCUAUCUGCCACAGGUGAUAAAAAAAAAAUGUUAGUUUAAAAAGAAGCGGUAGGUAUAUCGCAAUAAGGUUGCCUAAGUAUAGGUUUUUUAAUACAGUUUUUAAUACGUGUUCAUACGUUCUGUUAAAACAUAAUAACCGAGAAAACAUACGACGCAAAACCUUGGGAAAAUAAAUUGCAGUUGUCAUUUAGAUAUAGUUGUAGCACGAGGCGUCGAUCAGCGAGCUGUUGGGGUCCGAGGGACCUGAGGCUUGCAUUGUUGCUUUUGCAGCUUCGACAUGCCUGCCUUAGCGCUUCUCGAAUUCGGCCUGGGUCAGCAGCUUUUUCUGGCGGGCAUUUGGCGGAAAAUUUUUAUGUGCCCGCUCGGUGAGAAUCGUUGCGUCAUGAGACAUCGAUGCGCUUUUAGCUGGUGAGACCCGAGCGACCCAAGUCACUUUCUUGUUUUCCUAUUGCGUAGUGUUUUAAACUGAAACGAAAGCGAGCUGGUAGGCGACACCGGCAUAAAGUACUGCCUGAGCAAAACAUGGCGCUCAUUUUAAGUCACCUGCAACAGGGAAUGGGGGCAUGUUUGGGUUAUUGCAUAUUAAAGGCGUGCAGUACGCUUCUAAUGACAUUACCCCACAUGCACUGUGAAAAGGAUAGGUGAAGAUGUUUAUCACGAUGGGGUUGACGGCAAGAGCUGUGAAUGCUACAUGCGACAGCCUGCAAGGUGAUUGCCUAGUAUCGGAAGAGGAAACUGAGUGCAUGCUGGCAUUUUCUCGUGACACAGGCGGGCGAGUAGUACAGGGAAGCUGCUCUGGCGGGUGCCUACUGCUCGAUUAUGCGUGCCUCACACCUUUCCUUGUUCACAUGGGUUUAGUAUGAUACGAUUGCAGUUUGUUGAUGUAUUGAACGUUAGUGUUGAAAGGUCGCAUUUUCCCAGAAUGUAAUAACUAGUAAAAAAGAAGCGUAACUGGUUGGGUCAUUUUCUGUGUUUGAAAUCUCGAACGUUGGCACCAGGUAAUCAUAUGAAAAGGGAUCAUAUCAACGAGAGUGCUGUAUUUGGUGGCCAAUCAAUAAGUUGUGUCCAGUCUAUUUUCACUGCAGCCUUCCCCUGCUGGAAGGCCAUCAUCGAUUAUGAAACAAUUUAAUAAGUUGGGUCUUGUCAUGACGCUGCUGUGGUUAAAAGUUGAAUAAGUGGAUUAUGUUUUGUAGUCUGUGCAGUUUAAUGUUCCAGAGGAAGUGAUCACAUUAGUAUAACCAUACUGUAAGAAAGGGGUGCUAAAGUGAAAUGUUAGGUUGACUUAGACUUGCAGCUGACAUUUAUGGAAUAGCAAAUAAAGCAGUCUCAUUGUCAGUGGAGGCUUAGAUUGACAGAAAGGACAAAAAAUGAGAAAGAUGAGUUUUGAUGCCAUUUUAGAUUUACCACGCCAGCAUCCUUUGACAUGAUGGAUUUUAACUGCAUCUACCCAACACUAGUUACCGUAUUUACUCGAAUGUAAUGUGACAACAAGAUUCGGCUUUCCUGGCAUACGAAAUAAAAAAAAAAGCGAGAAUGUAAUGCGAGAGGAACUGAAAAAGAAAGGGUACCUUUAUUCAAGAAAUUGCAAUUCAAAAAUGAGGUGGAGACAGCUUUGCUUGUGCGGUAUUCUCUGGUGAUCAUGUUUGAAGAUAGUUUGACUUUUGGAAAAUUUUGCAUGCUUUUGCACUGAAAGUGUUCCCGACAAGUGUUUCUGGUGCUGUCCCAAGCUCACUGUGAGUCCCAAGAGAGCUAUUGACCGUAUACUUGGAGGGGUUUGGUGCUGCGGCAAGCAGAAUCUCGUGAAAGCAAAACUGUCUCCUAAAGUGUUCGUUCAAGAAUCAAGUCAUCUGCGCCGUCGAGCUCAUUUGAGAUUAAGUACUUCUUAAACGACCGCACAACCAUUUCAUUUGGGGACAGUGCCAGGCCACUUCUAGUUACACAGAGACCUUCCGACCGGCCUCGCACUUAAAGAGGGCCUGCAGGUCCUGUCUUCCGGGAUUUGUCGGCUCAGACAUUGUGGCAGCGAGCCAUGGUGCAGUUUCCCAGAUCCUCGGCCAUCAUAAGUGCUGUCCUCUCAAAGUGAUGGUUAGAAAAACGUAUAGGAGGUGUCAGUCAUUCCUACAAGUUAGUCAGAAUUGAUAAUAUAUAAUGCACUUUUCACUUCGCACAGUACGGGCUCUUCGUGUGGGGUACGGGUACCUGGGACUCUAAACAAAAAUUACUCGUACUUCAAGAAUGCGUUGCGCUCUAUUGCAAGCGUCACAUUUAAUACUCAUACUUCACCUUUAUUUCACAAAUUUAAACUGUUAAGAUUUGAUAGUAUGUGCAAAUACGUUUUGACACUUGCUUAUAAAACUGAAAUUACCAAAGCGAAUGAAAACCUCACACGUAUAGCAUGUCUAGCAUGUCUAGAGCGAAGUGCCUGGUCCUGAUUCACUGGGAACAGUGAGUACUGGAACAUUCCCCGGUGCCGAAUAAACUAUUGUUUUCAGAUGCUAAAUUUCAAAUACUAAAUUCCGCACACACUAAAUAAUUGAAUGUUGCAUCUGAGUGAUUGUGCCUUCUUUCGUGAAAUGACGUGUUUAAUAUGUUGUCAUCAAGUAUUGUUGAAAAUGCAUUGUUCUGUAUGAGCUAAUGCCAGCAAAAAUUUUCAGUUGUAUAUUUUGUAUUUCUUGUAGCUUACUUUCAAUGGAUAAAUGGACUUUUAUGUGUAUUGUAACAUGCAUUGUAUUUUAUAACAUGUAGUAAAUUUUUUAAUGCUGAGACUUUGCCACCUUGUUUUGCCGGGAGUAGGGGCCAGUCAAGCUGUGUUUCAAAUCGCAGCUUUUUCCUGCCUGCCACGCCACAGUUUUUUUUUCUGUACAUAUUUGUGUCAGAGAAAUGUAAAAUGAUUGUGGUGAAAAUAAACUCAAACUCAAAAGUGA